This 63-nucleotide transfer RNA is filed under the name Achalinus spinalis (Peters' odd-scaled snake). RNAcentral describes it as "tRNA-Tyr". The record is from RNAcentral. Lineage: Eukaryota; Metazoa; Chordata; Lepidosauria; Squamata; Xenodermidae.
GGUAGUAUGGCCGAUUAGGCGGUAAACUGUAAAUUUACACAUAGGGCCCGGCCCUUGCUCCCA